This 1140-nucleotide ribosomal RNA is filed under the name Mesobacillus foraminis. RNAcentral's name for it is "bacterial SSU rRNA". It matches the Rfam family "Bacterial small subunit ribosomal RNA", at positions 91 to 1216 of the family's 1533-position model. Lineage: Bacteria; Bacillati; Bacillota; Bacilli; Caryophanales; Bacillaceae. The record is from RNAcentral.
AUUAGCGGCGGACGGGUGAGUAACACGUGGGCAACCUGCCUGUAAGACUGGGAUAACUUCGGGAAACCGGAGCUAAUACCGGAUAAUCCUUUCCCUCACAUGAGGGAAAGCUGAAAGACGGUUUCGGCUGUCACUUACAGAUGGGCCCGCGGCGCAUUAGCUAGUUGGUGAGGUAACGGCUCACCAAGGCGACGAUGCGUAGCCGACCUGAGAGGGUGAUCGGCCACACUGGGACUGAGACACGGCCCAGACUCCUACGGGAGGCAGCAGUAGGGAAUCUUCCGCAAUGGACGAAAGUCUGACGGAGCAACGCCGCGUGAGCGAAGAAGGCCUUCGGGUCGUAAAGCUCUGUUGUCAGGGAAGAACAAGUGCCGGAGUAACUGCCGGCACCUUGACGGUACCUGACCAGAAAGCCACGGCUAACUACGUGCCAGCAGCCGCGGUAAUACGUAGGUGGCAAGCGUUGUCCGGAAUUAUUGGGCGUAAAGCGCGCGCAGGCGGUCCUUUAAGUCUGAUGUGAAAGCCCACGGCUCAACCGUGGAGGGUCAUUGGAAACUGGGGGACUUGAGUGCAGAAGAGGAGAGUGGAAUUCCACGUGUAGCGGUGAAAUGCGUAGAGAUGUGGAGGAACACCAGUGGCGAAGGCGACUCUCUGGUCUGUAACUGACGCUGAGGCGCGAAAGCGUGGGGAGCGAACAGGAUUAGAUACCCUGGUAGUCCACGCCGUAAACGAUGAGUGCUAAGUGUUAGAGGGUUUCCGCCCUUUAGUGCUGCAGCAAACGCAUUAAGCACUCCGCCUGGGGAGUACGGCCGCAAGGCUGAAACUCAAAGGAAUUGACGGGGGCCCGCACAAGCGGUGGAGCAUGUGGUUUAAUUCGAAGCAACGCGAAGAACCUUACCAGGUCUUGACAUCCUCUGACAACCCUAGAGAUAGGGCGUUCCCCUUCGGGGGACAGAGUGACAGGUGGUGCAUGGUUGUCGUCAGCUCGUGUCGUGAGAUGUUGGGUUAAGUCCCGCAACGAGCGCAACCCUUGAUCUUAGUUGCCAGCAUUCAGUUGGGCACUCUAAGGUGACUGCCGGUGACAAACCGGAAGAAGGUGGGGAUGACGUCAAAUCAUCAUGCCCCUUAUGACCUGGGCUA